AUGGCACUAUGGCAUCUGGUGUGGAGGCCCUACGCCGUGACCCGAUCGCUAGGACGACAGGGCAUUCGAGGGCCACCGUAUACAUUCGCCGUCGGGUCCCUGGGGGAGUGCAAGCGGAUGAUUGUUGCUGGGAGAGCAAAGCCUCUCCACGCCGGCUGCCACGACUACACCUCCCUCGUGCAACCUUUCUUCCAGAAAUGCACUUCUGACUAUGGAAAAACAUUUCUGUUUUGGCUCGGACCAAUACCGUCAAUCUGUUCUACUGACAUCGAGCUAGUCAAAGAAGUGCUCGCAGACAGGACAAACUUAUUCCAAAAGGACUACCUCAACCCUAGUUUGGAAGUAUUUUUUGGCAAAGGGCUUGUGCUUGCAAACGGAGACGACUGGAAGAGACAGCGCAAAGUUGUCCACCCAGUUUUCAAGCAAGAGAAGCUCAAGUCCGUGUCCGCUCUAGCGUCCAAGGGUGCACAGAAGAUGAUGGAGGAAUGGUCCGCCAAGAUACAAAUGAGCAACACAUAUAAAACCAAGAUACACAUGAGAAGUUACUCGGAAAAGUUGGCCCUAGGAGUCAUUGAAGGUGUGAUCUUUGGCCAGAAAACAAAGGAAUCUGGUGAGGUGUUUGUUGCUCUUAAGGAGCUCGAGAAGCUUGCGGUACAAGCACUUUUAGCACCCCCUAUACCUGGGUUCAGAUACCUGCCUACUCAUCGUAACCGUUGA
Molecule: ribosomal RNA, 717 nt
Filed under: Triticum aestivum (bread wheat)
Lineage: Eukaryota; Viridiplantae; Streptophyta; Magnoliopsida; Poales; Poaceae
Description: partial small subunit ribosomal RNA
Source: RNAcentral